RNAcentral lists this long non-coding RNA (1723 nucleotides) under Eutrema salsugineum. RNAcentral describes it as "long non-coding RNA (ESAL_LNC001751)". Lineage: Eukaryota; Viridiplantae; Streptophyta; Magnoliopsida; Brassicales; Brassicaceae. The record is from RNAcentral.
AAUUCGGUACGAGGAAAACAAGUGUCGCACGAUACCAUCAUCAGUGUCGCGCGUCACCAUCAUUGCAGCCAGGUAAGUUAUCUGUUUUUCCUGUGUUUCUCUGUUUCUUUUCUUUUGUCACCAACUUCGGAUUUGAUUACAUUGGGGACAGUGUUAUUCAAGUCUGGGGGAGGUAGUUGCUGACAUUGUGUUUGUUUUUCUUAAGAGUCAGUUGUGUCAAAACGUUUUUGAGUCAAAACCUGUUGGAGAUCAUGAUGCUUUUCCUGGAAUUAUUGUGCUGACUUUUCACCUAAGUGACCACUGCUGCAAAUUCAGACUAGAUCCGACUAAUGAAAAAUCCAAAGGCUGACCAGUUGACUAGAGGCGUCCAUGUUUCCAACAGAAUCCACUAACCUGAGCUAAGUACUGAACUUCACUUUUAACUCGCUGAUGUGACUAAUGCCUUAGAGCUUGAUUCCUCAUUCGUACUUGAUCAAUGAAAGCCUGUGUGAAAUUUAAUGAAGUGAUUUCUCUCCCUUGUGACGAGCUAAGAAAGAAAGAAAAAGGGCAAAAAGAUUGAGAUGAUUUUCGCUUAGGAGUGAAGGGCUAGGAAUGUUUCCAAUGAUCCCAUUAUUUCACUUCUAAGUUGGAAUGAUCACACAAAGGAAGGAAGUGAGGGGUAGGAAUGUUUCCCAUGACCCCACUAUUCGCUGAAAACCUUUGAUACAAGGUAAGGGGACAACUUGGGGACUUGGUGGCAAACACCAUCAGUACUCGCAGCUUUACCCUUAUCGAGUAUAUGCCAUAAAAAAAUGAUGAUGAGUGUGCGAAAAGAAUAAGUCUGGGGGAGAGAAAAGUACCAAAGUUUGUAUGGCUGAUUUGUUUGAGUAUUGGGAAAGAAUCUAGAAGGUUCUGGGCAUUGGAAUCAUCAGUGAGAUCCAGCGAUGAGGGUUUAUGGACAAUGUUGUGAAAUUUUGGAUUUAGUCUGGAAAGCUGUGAAUGUCUGCGGAGAAGUACAUGGUGGUUCGAUUUGGAAUGAUGAAGCAGUAGUUAAGUUGCAGGGUGAACGGUCAAAGCGAUGUUCCAAUGAAAGGUUGAGUCUCUGUGUUUUCAAACUUCUUUCUCCUGUUUGGUGUUCUGUUUGCUUGAGGGCAAGCAAAUGCUAAGUCUGGGGGAGUUGAUAUAUCAUGGUUUUUAUGGUUUUUAACCAUGGUAUAUGUCUUAUUUAUAGAGUCUUUUUAGUGUCUUUCGAGUCUUUUGGAGUCUUUUCAGGUCAUAGGUACGUUUGGAGCUUAACUGGAGACUUUGGAGCACUUUGGAGCUUAAUCAGGAUCAAAUUCGUCAAGUAUGGAUUUUGUGCUUUAGUGACGCUCGACACCAUGGAGAGUGACGCGCGACACUUGUUAGAGAAAUAAGGAAAAGGCGAUUUUGUUUCCUAUUUGAAGAAGGAGUUGGGCCCAAACGUUUUCAAGGAAGCCCAAAACGUGUCUUAGAGAUAUAUAUAGGAUUUUUAUUCCCUUUUUACGUUAACCUUAGAUUUUCUUAGAGAGAGUUUUUUGUUUUUGAGAGUUUUUGGGGAGACAAGUCUGAAACUCUGUUCCGGAGAGAGAAGAUUUCGAACCCCUGUUUAUUAAUCUAUUUACUGCUUACUGCAAGUUAUUCAAUCAUGCUUAUUGCUUCAAUCUCCAUGUCUGAGUAGUUUGCUUGUUAGGUUUAGGGUUCUCAUAAAGGAUUUCAUUGGAUG